This 28-nucleotide non-coding RNA is filed under the name Drosophila melanogaster (fruit fly). Lineage: Eukaryota; Metazoa; Arthropoda; Insecta; Diptera; Drosophilidae. RNAcentral also lists the same sequence under 2 other names. The record is from RNAcentral.
UCUCAGGGUCGUGGGUUCGAGCCCCACG